This 69-nucleotide transfer RNA is filed under the name Epeorus sp. MT-2014. Its description in RNAcentral is "tRNA-Gln". The record is from RNAcentral. Lineage: Eukaryota; Metazoa; Arthropoda; Insecta; Ephemeroptera; Heptageniidae.
UACAUUAUAGUGUACGAGGCACAAGAAUUUUUGAUAUUCUAAGAAAUAGUUUAAUUCUAUUAAAUGUAA